UUCAAUGAGAGUUUGAUCAUAGCUCAGGAUGAACGUUGGCUGUGUGCCUAAGGUAUGCAAGUCGAACGAUCCUAUUUUGAAUUCUAAAGACUUCGGUCGAUAGUUUUCUGUUUAGGGUAGUGGCAAACGGGUGAGUAAUAUAUAGAUAACUUGCCUUGAAGUCGGGAAUAGCUCGUCGAAAGACGGGGUAAUAUCCGAUGGUCUCUAUUCACUUCGUGUGUUUUAGAGUAAAGUUUUUCGCUUCAAGAGAGGUCUGUAUCCUAUCAGCUAGUUGGUGAGGUAAUGGCUCACCAAGGCUAAGACGGGUAGCUGGUGUGAGAGCACGGUCAGCCACCGCGGAACUGAGACACGGUCCGCACUCCUACGGGAGGCAGCAAUUAGGAAUCUUGCGCAAUGGGGGCAACCCUGACGC
This 412-nucleotide ribosomal RNA is filed under the name Candidatus Dojkabacteria bacterium. RNAcentral's name for it is "bacterial SSU rRNA". It matches the Rfam family "Bacterial small subunit ribosomal RNA", at positions 1 to 389 of the family's 1533-position model. The record is from RNAcentral.